RNAcentral lists this ribosomal RNA (505 nucleotides) under uncultured fungus. Its description in RNAcentral is "SSU rRNA". It matches the Rfam family "Eukaryotic small subunit ribosomal RNA", at positions 539 to 1056 of the family's 1831-position model. The record is from RNAcentral. Lineage: Eukaryota; Fungi.
UUUGGAGGGGCAAGUCUGGUGCCAGCAGCCGCGGUAAUUCCAGCUCCAAUAGCGUAUAUUAAAGUUGUUGUGGUUAAAAAGCUCGUAGUUGAACCUUGGGCCUGGCUGGCCGGUCCGCCUCACCGCGUGUACUGGUCCGGCCGGGCCUUUCCCUCUGUGGAACCCCAUGCCCUUCACUGGGUGUGGCGGGGAAACAGGACUUUUACUGUGAAAAAAUUAGAGUGCUCCAGGCAGGCCUAUGCUCGAAUACAUUAGCAUGGAAUAAUAGAAUAGGACGUGUGGUUCUAUUUUGUUGGUUUCUAGGACCGCCGUAAUGAUUAAUAGGGACAGUCGGGGGCAUCAGUAUUCAAUUGUCAGAGGUGAAAUUCUUGGAUUUAUUGAAGACUAACUACUGCGAAAGCAUUUGCCAAGGAUGUUUUCAUUAAUCAGGAACGAAAGUUAGGGGAUCGAAGACGAUCAGAUACCGUCGUAGUCUUAACCAUAAACUAUGCCGACUAGGGAUCGG